UUUCCGUAGGUGAACCUGCGGAAGGAUCAUUAACACGUAUCCACGUAUCAACCCCUCUGUGCAAACCCUAACUUCGAAAGGUUUGGUCUUAGUGUGUUGUUCGCAUGGGUCCUAAUGAUGGAGGCAGUCAAAUGCCUAGGGCUCGAACGACAUGUGUUUGACGAUCAACCGCCACUUUCCCAUCGUUGGCCCCUCUUUUUAAACCCCUUGUACUUCUUUGUACUGAACCAAUUCUUCUGACGCUCUUUACUGAGUGACGGAUAGAUAUUACGAAACUUAAGAACAACUCUUAGCAACGGAUAUCUUGGUUCCC
RNAcentral lists this unclassified non-coding RNA (313 nucleotides) under soil metagenome. Its description in RNAcentral is "partial contains small subunit ribosomal RNA, internal transcribed spacer 1, and 5.8S ribosomal RNA". The record is from RNAcentral.